CUGCUACUCCCUCCGAUCCAUAUUACUUGUGGCUGAAAUGGAUGUAUAUAGACAUAUUUCAGUGUUAGAUACAUCCAUUUGAGCGACAAGUAAUAUGGAUAGGAGGGAGUACUAU
Non-coding RNA from Triticum aestivum (bread wheat), 115 nucleotides. The record is from Rfam. Lineage: Eukaryota; Viridiplantae; Streptophyta; Magnoliopsida; Poales; Poaceae.